AUGAACGCUGGCGGCGUGCCUAAUACAUGCAAGUCGAGCGAACGGACGAGAAGCUUGCUUCUCUAAUGUUAGCGGCGGACGGGUGAGUAACACGUGGAUAACCUACCUAUAAGACUGGGAUAACUUCGGGAAACCGUAGCUAAUACCGGAUAAUAUUUUGAACCGCAUGGUUCAAAAGUGAAAGACGGUCUUGCUGUCACUUAUAGAUGGAUCCGCGCUGCAUUAGCUAGUUGGUAAGGUAACGGCUUACCAAGGCAACGAUGCAUAGCCGACCUGAGAGGGUGAUCGGCCACACUGGAACUGAGACGCGGUCCAGACUCCUACGGGAGGCAGCAGUAGGGAAUCUUCCGCAAAGGGCGAAAGCCUGACGGAGCAACGCCGCGUGAGUGAUGAAGGUCUUCGGAUCGUAAAACUCUGUUAUUAGGGAAGAACAUAUGUGUAAGUAACUGUGCACAUCUUGACGGUACCUAAUCAGAAAGCCACGGCUAACUACGUG
This 496-nucleotide ribosomal RNA is filed under the name uncultured bacterium. RNAcentral's name for it is "partial 16S ribosomal RNA". It matches the Rfam family "Bacterial small subunit ribosomal RNA", at positions 29 to 507 of the family's 1533-position model. The record is from RNAcentral.